CCCCCGRAACUAMRCGAGCUACUUCAAGGCAGCUUAAUGAGCAAACCCGUCUCUGUUGCAAAAGAGUGGGAAGACCUUCAAGUAGCGGUGACAGACCUAACGAGCUUAGUGAUAGCUGGUUACUCAAAAAAAGGAUUUAAGUCCAGCCUGAAGCUAAAAAAUUACUUCAAAAUAACCACCUAACUUCAGAGUAAUUCAAAUAAGGUACAGCCUAUUUGAAACAGGAUACAACCUCAACUACUGGGUUCACUAAAUCAACUUAACAUAACCAAGUGGGCCUAAGAGCAGCCACCUUACAAACAGCGUCAAAGCUUAAUUAUGUUUUUAUCUAAUACCUACAUUACCUUUUAACCCUUUAAUAGUAUUGAGUAAUUCUAUAAACUUAUAGAAUAUUUUAUGUUAAUACUAGUAACAAGAAGAAGACCUUCUCUUAAAUGCAAGCAUAAAUCAGAAUGGACAACCCACUGAUAAUUAAC
RNAcentral lists this ribosomal RNA (476 nucleotides) under Telmatobius simonsi (Sucre water frog). RNAcentral describes it as "partial 16S ribosomal RNA". The stretch from base 1 to 399 matches the Rfam family "Bacterial large subunit ribosomal RNA", at positions 713 to 1297 of the family's 2925-position model. The record is from RNAcentral. Lineage: Eukaryota; Metazoa; Chordata; Amphibia; Anura; Ceratophryidae.